This 775-nucleotide ribosomal RNA is filed under the name uncultured Neocallimastigales. RNAcentral describes it as "partial large subunit ribosomal RNA". It matches the Rfam family "Eukaryotic large subunit ribosomal RNA", at positions 24 to 616 of the family's 3401-position model. Lineage: Eukaryota; Fungi; Neocallimastigomycota; Neocallimastigomycetes; Neocallimastigales. The record is from RNAcentral.
UUAUGUGAUCGUCUCUCGCAUAUCAAUAAGCGGAGGAAAAGAAACUAACAAGGAUUCCCCUAGUAACGGCGAGUGAAGCGGGAAGAGCUCAAAUUUGAAAUCUUAAAGGGUUUCCCUUUACGAAUUGUAGUUUAAAGAAGUGUUUUCUGUUGAGGUUUUGGUAAAAGUUCUUUGGAAUAGGACAUCAUAGAGGGUGAGAAUCCCGUAUUUGACCUUUACUUUCAACUUUGUGAUACACUUUCAAAGAGUCGGAUUGUUUGGGAAUGCAGUCCAAAAUGGGUGAUAAAUUUCAUCUAAAGCUAAAUAUUGGCGAGAGACCGAUAGCGAACAAGUACCGUGAGGGAAAGAUGAAAAGAACUUUGAAAAGAGAGUUAAACAGUACGUGAAAUUGUCAAAAGGGAAGCGUUUGACACCAGUGUUGUUUUUCUGAAAAUCAAUUAAAGAACUGUUUAUGCUAAGCUGUUUAGACUUUAUCAGCUAACUGUUUAGUUUUGAGCUUUUCUUUAAUGCACUUUUCAGUUAACAAGUCAACAUCAAUUUCUUUUGCUGUAAAAAAGCUUGAGGAAGGUGGCUUGAGAUUCGUCUUAAGUGUUUAUAGCCUCUUGCCUAUGCAGUCGGAGAGAUUGAGGUCUGCAGCGUAGAUCCUUCGGGGCUAAAUGCAUUUGUGCUAAGUUAUAGCAUUUUAUAGACAACUUGUUGACUAUGAUUUGUCUUGUAGCUUACUCGCUUAUGUUAUUUUACCUACGCUUAGGAUGUUGAGCGCAUGUCUCUCUCU